AUGUCAUCUGGGAGCCGAGAGCUGCUGCGCCGACACGCACGACGGCGGCGACCAGCUGCUGCUGCCGGCGGUCAUGUCCGAGCCCUUCCACUUCCCCUUCCAACCUCCCGGCCGUACGUCGACGAGGCCGCGCCCGUACAUCCUGAGGUAGGCGAGCUGCUCGGUCCUAGGCACGCACACGUCCAUGCUGCCGUCGAGCAUGCCGGACACGGCCGUCAUGGCCGGCCGCACCGACGCCUCCUCCUGGAGGCAGCACAGGGCGACGCGCACCACCCUCGCCACCUCCGCCGCGUCCGCCCGGCCCUCCAGCCUCGGGUCCACCAGCUCCAGGUACCGCCCCUCCUCGUGCAGGUCCAAUGCCAGCGCCGGGAAGUAGCUGCUCCUCGCCUUCGUCGCCUCGCCACCGGCGCCAUCGGACGACGCGGCGCUGGUGGUGGUGCUGCUGCCGGUGGUGGUGGUGUCGUGCUCGUCAUCCUGCUUAGAGUUUUUCCGGCCGCGCACGAUCUCCAGCAGCACCAUGCCGAAGCUGUACACGUCGGCCUUGUCGGUGAUGGGCGCGUUCAUGAGCCACUCGGGCGCCAGGUACCCGCGGGUGCCGCGCAUGGUGGUGAAGAGCCCCGACUGCUCCGGGCUCAUCAGCUUAGCCAGCCCGAAGUCGGCGAUCUUCACGCCGCCGCGGUCGUCCAGCAGGAUGUUCUCCGGCUUGACGUCGCAGUGCAGGAUCUUGCGGUCGCAGCCGGCGUGGAGGUACGCCAGGCCGCGCGCCGCGCCCGCGCACACGCCGAGACGAUCGGGCCACUCCAGCACGUCCCUCUUCUUCGUGGCGGCGCCGGCGGCGGCGCGGGGGAAAAGGGACUGGUCCAGCGAGCCGCGGCUCAUGUACUCGUACACCAGCAGCUGCUGGCGCGCGCCCUCGGCGCAGAACCCGCGGAGCUUCACCAGGUUCACGUGGUGGACGUUGCCGAUCACGGCGAUCUCCGUGAGGAACUCGCGCCGGCCCUGCAUGCCCAGGUUGUUCAUCCGCUUGACGGCCACGGUGGUCCGGUCGGGGAGCUCGCCGCGGUACACGGAGCCGAACCCGCCCGAGCCGAUCUGCCACUUGAAGCCGUUGGUCGCCGUCUCCAGGUCGGCGAACGUGAACCGGGUCGGCAGGCCCGGGAUGAGCACCUCGUCGUCGUCGCCCUCGCUGUCGUCGCCGUCGCCCUUCUCCGACGGGACGUUGGACGACGCCCGCGACGACGACAAGGACGGCAUCAUGUGCAGCAUGAACCAGCUGCUGCCACCGUUGCCGUGCUUCUUCUUCUUGGCCUUGCCGGUGUUGGCGCCGCCAUGGCGGUUCUUGAGCCAGUGCACGCCCAGCACGUACAGCAGGAAGGUGAUGAACACGGCCGCCACGGCCGGCAGCACGAUGCCGAAUAUGAUGGUGAUGGUGCUCAGCGACGACGAGCCACCGCCACCGCCUUGGCCGCGAGAUGGAGCCGGCGGGACCGUCUUGAUGAAGGCGACGGCGGCGGCUGCGCUGUUGCCGCCGCGGAAGACGGAGCCGAUCUGGUUGUGGACGAGGAAGCAGGACUUGGAGGAGUUCUUGUAGACGAAGCCGACGCAGGAGCAGUUGGCCGAGCAGAGGUCGCGGCACGCCGAGAGCGCGUCGCCGGCGGUUGUGGGGAGCGCGAACUUGCCGGCGAAGUAGCCGAUCCCGUCGCCCAGCCUCGUGUAGCUGUAAGGAGUCCGCGCGGAUGCUGCCGACGACUUGGCGGAGGCGUUGCCGGCGAGGCAGCUGUCAGAUAA
RNAcentral lists this ribosomal RNA (1788 nucleotides) under Triticum aestivum (bread wheat). RNAcentral describes it as "partial small subunit ribosomal RNA". Lineage: Eukaryota; Viridiplantae; Streptophyta; Magnoliopsida; Poales; Poaceae. The record is from RNAcentral.